UCUGCAGAUAACGGCCGGAGGAGAAGCUCGAUCGCGUCCAACUUCCGGCCACACGCACGUCGUCCCAGCUGAUAUCACCUGUGUAGGCCGGAGGCAUAGAUAAAAUCCACGGGGUCAGCAUCGCGCCGUAUAUAUCAUCGCGCAGCCAGCGCGAGCGUCCUGGUCCUCGCGGUUCAGACUGACAGCGAUCGGGAGCUGUAUGUGUUCUCGGCCGUCCGAUGUGAGUUGUACCACGUUCAGCCCGGACAGCGAUAUUCACCUACUAUUCAGCCUCUACCGCUACACCAUAGACAGCAGCAUGUCUGCAAAUUGGCCUCUGCGUCUGUAGCUUGCAACGGAGCUCUCUCACGGGCCAGGUGUAUGUGACCGGAACAUCUCUCUGGUCGUUAUCCGGUCAUGUUCUACAGGACACAAGCUUUUCGCCGCAAUUUGCAAGACGUUUUGACAUUUGAAGAUGGACUGGCAUUUCACUCGGACGACUGGUUUCGAACUGGAUUAACGAUUGGAAUAUCUUGUACGGGAAGUAGGACGCAAAAUUAGACCUGCAGCGGUGCGCAAAGCUCCUGCAACAAGUCGCGGUUGAAAACUUUGAAGCAAAACGUAGCUAGGCUUCAUGAAUCCCCAGACAAGAAGAUUGCUGAUCGAGAGAAAGUCUUCUAGAAGAGAAAAUGUUUGCUUUGUUGCUUUUGGAGUGGGUGCAGAAUACUAGUAUUUUCUCUUCUUUCGAACUUCGAAGAGUUGUUUAGCUGAGCUGGUGGUAGCUAGGUUGUGAGCGUUUCUUAGUAUCGA
Triticum dicoccoides is the source of this 789-nucleotide long non-coding RNA. RefSeq lists it as uncharacterized. The record is from RefSeq and is a predicted model, not a curated record. Lineage: Eukaryota; Viridiplantae; Streptophyta; Magnoliopsida; Poales; Poaceae. The transcript is spliced from 3 exons.